UCCUCGCGCUCACAGCCAGCCCGCUUUACAAGCGUGCGCAUGUGUUAGGCAUCGCCACUUGGGCAGACGGCGCUCAGCCUUGAACGUGCGUUAACGAGUGCGCGGGAGUAAAAGAACUUUCCUCGGGAAACUACGCCAGAAUCGACCACGGAAGCAGAAACGCUUCGUCGCGAGUUUCGUGUCCGCGUGGAAGCGGAUGGAUGAAUACGCAGCGGAGGAAUUACAGCGGACUCGACCGUUUCGCGUGCAGUUCCAUACACAGUAAACAGCACUGAAAACCGUGCGGAUUUGGGAUCCGUGUCCAGCGUCUGCAGCGAAUCUCGAAACAAAGGCGAAGAGAGUUUUGGCGGCAGGGAUUGUUAUAUUUUUGUUAGCCUAUGCAAGGAGCAGCUCGGCUCGCCUGUCACCAUCAUCUUCAUCAUCAUCAUCAUCAUCAUCACCAUCAUCAGUGCAACGUUCUUCUCCCCAGUAUCCCAUUUGCGUCAUGACUUCUAGCUAUGCCCAUGUAAUGGACAGACGAGCAGCGAUACCCAGCAGACUGGACAGUCCCAUUACAGCCAACCUGGAAAACCUGCAGGCCAAGAAGAACUUCUCGGUCAGCCACCUGCUGGAUCUGGAGGAAGCGGGGGAAAUGGUCAGCGCUCAGGCGGACGAGAGCGUGGGCGAAACUGGCAGAACGAUGCUCGAGUCCCCGGGCUUAACCAGCGGCAGCGAUACCACGCAGCACGAGAAUGAACAGCUCAACUCCGAGGAGAAGAAGAAGCGUAAACAGCGGCGAAACAGGACCACGUUCAACAGCGGGCAGCUGCAGGCGCUGGAAAGGGUCUUUGAGCGCACGCACUACCCCGACGCUUUUGUGCGCGAAGACCUGGCGCGCAGGGUCAACCUGACUGAGGCCAGGGUGCAGGUGUGGUUUCAGAACCGCCGGGCGAAGUUCCGCCGCAACGAGCGGGCUUUGCUGGCCAGUAAGAACGCGUCUCUGCUCAAAUCCUACUCGGGGGACGUGACAGCGGUGGAGCAGCCCAUCGUCCCGCGGCCCGCCCCCCGCCCUAACGACUACCUAUCCUGGGGUAGCGCCACCCCUUACAGCUGGUUCCCAAGUGCGGAGGGAGGGCCAGUACGCGUGCCACAGAAAAUGUUGCCCACAGAAACGCAAUGGCCGCCUACCCACCCACUUGUUCCAACACCACUUCCACCCAGGGAAUGAACAUGGCCAACAGCAUCGCCAACCUCAGACUGAAAGCCAAGGAGUACAACCUGAACCAGGAAAUGAAUCUGCUCAUAUAUCAGAACUGAUAUGGAGUCAUCACAGCAGACACGAUGUCUGGACGGUGUAAAUACUUUCUGUUCUUUUCAACUGGCUGAACGCUAUUACGCUCCUCAAAGAAACUACCGGAAGACUGUAGUUUGCUGUAAUUCGAAGUCUGAAAGUUACAUAAGACCCGAACCAAAAGACACCGAGGCAAAGUUCUUGUUCGUUGGAUGCCCGUCAGGUCUGCUGGACAGCAGCGAAGCCCCGUUCAUGGACCUAAACUAACGAGGGACGUCAGAAAAGAACUGCAGGGGUGGCAGUGUCUCUAGAAGUCUAUUUUAUUCUCAUCACUUUAACACUGACUAGUUGCCAUGCCACCCCAUGGCGGUAUGAGUGCACCACGUACUAACACAAAUGUAACUCAUUUUUGGAGAGCGACUUAUAGUUUCCUUUUUUCUGUAUGACAUUUUACGAUUGCAAAGCAUAUGGGAAUAAAAUCACGUCAAGCA
RNA transcript from Electrophorus electricus (electric eel), 1761 nucleotides. It is a transcript of the gene named paired related homeobox 1b, with no coding region annotated. The record is from RefSeq and is a predicted model, not a curated record. Lineage: Eukaryota; Metazoa; Chordata; Actinopteri; Gymnotiformes; Gymnotidae.